This 570-nucleotide ribosomal RNA is filed under the name uncultured Methylotenera sp. RNAcentral's name for it is "bacterial SSU rRNA". It matches the Rfam family "Bacterial small subunit ribosomal RNA", at positions 8 to 573 of the family's 1533-position model. The record is from RNAcentral. Lineage: Bacteria; Pseudomonadati; Pseudomonadota; Betaproteobacteria; Nitrosomonadales; Methylophilaceae.
AGGGUUUGAUCCUGGCUCAGAUUGAACGCUGGCGGAAUGCUUUACACAUGCAAGUCGAACGGCAGCACGGACUUCGGUCUGGUGGCGAGUGGCGAACGGGUGAGUAAUGUAUCGGAACGUAUCCAGUAAUGGGGGAUAACUAAUCGAAAGGUUGGCUAAUACCGCAUACGCCCUACGGGGGAAAGCAGGGGAUCUUCGGACCUUGCGUUAAUGGAGCGGCCGAUAUCUGAUUAGCUAGUUGGUGAGGUAAGAGCUCACCAAGGCGACGAUCAGUAGCUGGUCUGAGAGGACGACCAGCCACACUGGAACUGAGACACGGUCCAGACUCCUACGGGAGGCAGCAGUGGGGAAUUUUGGACAAUGGGCGCAAGCCUGAUCCAGCCAUUCCGCGUGAGUGAAGAAGGCCUUCGGGUUGUAAAGCUCUUUCGCAAGGGAAGAAACGAUGCAGACGAAUAAUCUGUGUUAAUGACGGUACCUUGAUAAGAAGCACCGGCUAACUACGUGCCAGCAGCCGCGGUAAUACGUAGGGUGCAAGCGUUAAUCGGAAUUACUGGGCGUAAAGCGUGCGCA